RNAcentral lists this unclassified non-coding RNA (210 nucleotides) under uncultured Gammaproteobacteria bacterium. RNAcentral describes it as "contains 16S-23S intergenic spacer region". It matches the Rfam family "Bacterial small subunit ribosomal RNA", at positions 980 to 1186 of the family's 1533-position model. Lineage: Bacteria; Pseudomonadati; Pseudomonadota; Gammaproteobacteria. The record is from RNAcentral.
UACCCUUGACAUGUACGGAAGCCUCCAGAGAUGGAGGUGUGCCCGAAAGGGAACCGUAACACAGGUGCUGCAUGGCUGUCGUCAGCUCGUGUCGUGAGAUGUUGGGUUAAGUCCCGCAACGAGCGCAACCCUUGCCAUUAGUUGCCACAUUAAGUUGGGUACUCUAAGGUAACCGCCGGUGAUAAGCCGGAGGAAGGUGGGGAUGACGUG